CCCAGAUUCUGACUAUCAGUUUGUGCAGGCAAGUGGCCAGCUUUUCCGGGCCCAUCUUGAUGAGCUCAGCUCCGAUACCAUCCUUACCAGCUGCUUUAUUGGUCUUUAGCUGUUGAAUGGCAUCCUUAACUUCCCUCAAGGUGGGGGCUGGUUGGCUUCCAUCGUCCGCUGAACUGACGUAGUCAUCUUCUCCGCUGCCUUGACUUUCAUUGCCUGUACUCUCAGCGCCAUUCAGAUGUUCCUCGUAGUGCUGCUUCCACCUUUCGAUCACCACACGUUCGUCCGUCAAGAUGCUCCCAUCCUUAUCCCGGCACAUUUCGGCUCGCGGCACAAAGCCUUUGCGGGAUGCGUUGAGCUUUUGAUAGAACUUGCGUGUAUCUUGAGAACGGCACAGCUGUUCCAUCUCCUCGCACUCCGCUUCUUCCAGGCGGCGUUUCUUUAACAACCUUUUUUAACAACCUAAUUUAACCUAAAUUGUUGCUUGAUAAAAAAAGAACCUGAAAAUCAGUUCGAGAUAAACUAAUAUUCUAGGUUGUCAUUUACCAGCGCGCUCCGUCAAUCAUAUUUGUGUUGAGCUUUCAAGUGAGUCUAAAUUUUCGGUAGGCUAAGCGUCGAUCGUUACAGUUUCCUGUACCAUCAUGGACGUCUCUCUCUUUGGAACUGGCAAGGGGUUCAAUAGGAAGAUCUGUGCUUGGAACUGGCUAUCUACAUAUGCGAUCCAUUCAUCUUUCGACCGAGUAAGUGCCACUAAAACAUUUUGCUGUGGAAUAGGAUCGGUUUCCGGGAUGUUGAAACUAGGGAGCGGUUGGAAGUCUGAAGCAGUGCUUUAACCCCCAGAAGAUAUUUUUACCCAUUAUACAAUUGUGGAAUAUUCCGAUCGGCCGACAAUCUAACUCAUCAUAUGCUGCCGCUGCCAACAUAAAUGUCCUUCAUUGAUAUGAAACCCAUAUCGACAAGGGACAAUUAUGCUUGCGGCGGUAGUAUAGUCGCCGCAUAAUAAUGAACAACUACGAUUUUUUGUUUGUUAAAAUUACGCUAUAUAUGUUCAAUAAAGCUUUAUAAAAAUAAAA
Molecule: long non-coding RNA, 1070 nt
Organism: Armigeres subalbatus
Lineage: Eukaryota; Metazoa; Arthropoda; Insecta; Diptera; Culicidae
Exons: 2
Source: RefSeq, a predicted model, not a curated record